GUUUGCCAUUCUUCCUCAAAACAAUUGGUCCUAUUUAGUCUCACAAACACUUUCACAGGUAUCCCUCACUUCUAAGAGAACGUUCACAAAUCUCCCAGCCUCCUCUGCAAACGAUCUUGGGUUCUAAUGCGUAACCACUAUGAAAAGGUAGUACUACUUUUUUCUCUGCUUUUCUUGAGAAUUGUAAUCAUAGAUAAUCUUAAUUAUUUUAAAAAGGUUUUUGAUGUUUUGUAAGUACUACGAAGACAGAGUAUACAUAGGAAAUAGCAGUGAAGCAUAUUUGUAAAAAGUAGAGAAGAGCAGUGCUUGGGAACAGAGGCUGAAAGUGACCUUAAAGAUCAUCUCAUACUGAACCCAUGCCAUGGGUUGGUUGUCAUCCACCGUAUCAGUCUGCCCAGGUGUCCAUUCAACCUGGGCUUGAACACGUCCAGGGAUGGGAAGAACUUUGUAUGUUGCUAGCAUCAACUAUAUGAUUUUAACUGAACUAAGUGUCAAUGGGAACAUGUAGACAAUAUGGGAGGGAAGUUCUUUUGAAUUGUUCUCACAUGUCUUUAGUCCUCUGAAAUAUUAGAUUUCAUGACAAAAUUAUUAAGUUCUGUGUUGAAGUUUAAUUAUUUCUUAGCUAAACACCACAUCAGCUUUCUGACCCAAGCUUAUUCAUGCUCACCUGAAUUUUCUGUUUUACCUUGUAGCUUUUAGAUAAAUUGAAAAGUUCUUAUCUCCUUUCUCUGUGAAGGGUGUGUGAGAGGCGCUGAAGAGCUUUCUGAUGUAUUGGUUAGAUCUAAAGCCUCCUCCCAAGAACGCAAGUAACUGGCCCUUGGAACUGUCACUUCUCACAGAUGCCUCUCUUGUGUGCUCUUGGAUCCAGCCUUGCCAUGUGGUGCUCAAAAACUGGUGUAUUCUGGUAAGUAGUGUUUUCCCUUGCGUUUCCUAU
RNAcentral lists this long non-coding RNA (934 nucleotides) under Numida meleagris (helmeted guineafowl). RNAcentral's name for it is "lncRNA (ENSNMEG00000006081.1)". The record is from RNAcentral. Lineage: Eukaryota; Metazoa; Chordata; Aves; Galliformes; Numididae.